GUCAAGUUGUUAAGAGCAAACGGUGGAUGCCUGGGCAUCUGGAGCCGAAGAAGGACGUCGUAAUCUGCGAUAAGCCUCGGGGAGUUGAUAAACGAGCUGUGAUCCGAGGAUUUCCGAAUGGGGAAACCCGG
Molecule: ribosomal RNA, 131 nt
Filed under: uncultured bacterium
Lineage: Bacteria
Description: partial 23S ribosomal RNA
Rfam family: Bacterial large subunit ribosomal RNA
Source: RNAcentral